CUUUAUCUUGGUAAUUUCUGGCCCAGAGAAAUGAAUGCCCAGCAUCAAGUGUCGUGACCUCUCCAGUUUUCUGCAUUCAGCUUGUUUGACAUUGUUCAACAGCUCUGCUGUGGGCCUAGAGUACAUCAACAAGUAGAUGAAAAAUGUCCUUCUUGUGUCAUGAAUGCCAAGGGCUCCCUUGCCUGCCCUCCAUCCUCCAGAAGCCUUUGGUCGCGAAUUAAUCCUGGAAUCAAAACAGAUUUUCCGAGGAGCAAUCUUCCAUCAAGUAUUGAUUUUUUUACACUCACGGAGUCUGUACUCCCUAAUUUAACCUGACAAUGAUUCUGCACAAUGGCCUGGGAGCACCUUGGCAGCUCACUGAAGGAACUUUUACUGUCUUUUCUUUCUGCAAAGUGGAAGGGAAAAAAAC
RNAcentral lists this long non-coding RNA (409 nucleotides) under Cricetulus griseus (Chinese hamster). Its description in RNAcentral is "lncRNA (ENSCGRG00015042413.1)". Lineage: Eukaryota; Metazoa; Chordata; Mammalia; Rodentia; Cricetidae. The record is from RNAcentral.